AACGCAGCGAAGGGCGAUAAGUAAUGCGAAUUGCAGAAUUCAGUGAGUCAUCGAAUCUUUGAACGCACAUUGCGCCCCCGUGGUAUUCCGCGGGGCAUGCCUGUUCGAGCGUCAUUUCUCAACCCUCAAGCUUCUGCUGGCGUUGGGCCGUACCGGGAACGGUCGGCCCUAAAAUCAGUGGCGGCGCCUUUUGGCUCUAAGCGUAGUAAUUCUCUCGCUAUAGACGUCAGGCGGUGUCCAGCCAGGAACCCCCCCAAUUUUCUAUGGUUGACCUCGGAUCAGGUAGGGAUACCCGCUGAACUUAA
RNAcentral lists this ribosomal RNA (305 nucleotides) under uncultured fungus. RNAcentral's name for it is "eukaryotic LSU rRNA". The stretch from base 1 to 114 matches the Rfam family "5.8S ribosomal RNA", at positions 42 to 154 of the family's 154-position model. Lineage: Eukaryota; Fungi. The record is from RNAcentral.